RNAcentral lists this long non-coding RNA (556 nucleotides) under Vigna radiata. RNAcentral describes it as "long non-coding RNA (VRAD_LNC002360)". Lineage: Eukaryota; Viridiplantae; Streptophyta; Magnoliopsida; Fabales; Fabaceae. The record is from RNAcentral.
UUUUAGGACAGAUUAGGUUUUUCUUCAAUAAAUUGUAGUUUUUCUAAAUCUUUGUUAAUUUGGCAUUCUUAGUUAGACUUUUGUUAGAAUUUUAUACUUGCUUGAUUUUAAGAUUUUUAGAAAAAAAAAAAAGAAAAGAAGGAAGAGGUGCAGCCAUGAAGAAUCUUUGGAGUCAAAUUCAGAUGUUGACAGCAGCUGUGGAGCUGAAUAAACUUGUAAUCAUUGAAGAACACCUUGUACAUUGCUUGACUUGUUGCCAAUUGAAAACUUAAUAGAAACCUACUGAAUCAAUACACAGGCAACUUGCUGCUGCCAAGUCAAAGAGAAAGAAACACUUUGAGUUCAAGCAAUGUAACCUGCUCUGACCUGUUGGAUUAGAGCUGAAUAAAGGAGCUUGAAGAAUCAAUUUACCUGCUCACCUGCUAAUUGAAGUACUUGUAGGAUUAAUUAGUGGUAGUUUAGUUGAACCAAGUGUAAUCAUUGAUUUCUUACCUGUUGCAAACUGUUUUCCAAUUUUCAAAUAUUUGUGUCAGCCUAUAUAAGGCUUAUUUUCUGG